Long non-coding RNA from Elaeis guineensis (African oil palm), 701 nucleotides. RefSeq lists it as uncharacterized. The record is from RefSeq and is a predicted model, not a curated record. NCBI's taxonomy places the organism in Eukaryota, Viridiplantae, Streptophyta, Magnoliopsida, Arecales, Arecaceae.
GACUCUCCUGGUCUCGCUGUUCAUGGCCUGCCCCGGUGGCGCCGCCAUGGUUAUUUACGGGUCGACCUCCUCCCCGCCAGCCGUGCGGUCGCCGUGGGUGCUCGAGAGGUCGGGGCGUGUUCUCGGUGCAUCAAAGAGUAGAAUAAUGCGUAUACGUUGCCGAAUUCCGAGAUGACGAGCUCGAAUUUCUGGUGCCCCAUUGGCUCCGACGGAAGGAAGGGGAUCGAUUGGCAGUGCCAAGGCCAAGAAGGAGGAGUUCUGAAGGAAAAGCCAUCUAGGAGUGCUUGCUGGGCAUGCUUUUGUCGCUGUCAUCUUGAAACAGAACACAAAAACACUUCAAGUAUCACUUUAGAAGCAGGCUGUAUGUUGGAAGGAAGGCGCUCAAUUUACGGAGGAGAUGGUACGGAUUAAGAGGGUCCAGUGUUCUUUUCAUGGUGUUAUGGAGUUUUGCAUUUUGGGUUGCUCACUGUGUGAUGAUGCCACCCGCUGUAAUCUUUACGUCGAGGUGGAUCUCUGGCUGGAUGUUUCCCUGCUGGUGUUAUGGAACCGUAUUGCUUGUUCCUCGAUCAUAGAAAGAAAAGGGAAUCUCUAUGUAUUAGCUGCACAUCUGAAAACUAAUAAAGACACAAGAUUGUUUGCUUGGUUAAUUAAGGAUGAUUUCCAAGCUUGGGAUCUACAGUCUUAUAAGUGGAAGUUAUCUU